AAUUAGAAUUGUCUAUCUUAUAAAAUUCAAACAAAAGGGAGUUUUUCUAAUGGGAACUAUCAUUUGCCAAAGUUGCAAUAAGACAAUUGAUCAUUUUGAGAAUGAGAAAGUAUCAACUUUAUACGGACAAUGCACUUGCUGUGAUAAAAAACAAAAGAAGACUUCUA
Non-coding RNA from Bacillus sp. OV166, 167 nucleotides. NCBI's taxonomy places the organism in Bacteria, Bacillati, Bacillota, Bacilli, Caryophanales, Bacillaceae. The record is from Rfam.